Molecule: long non-coding RNA, 277 nt
Organism: Notothenia coriiceps (black rockcod)
Lineage: Eukaryota; Metazoa; Chordata; Actinopteri; Perciformes; Nototheniidae
Exons: 3
Source: RefSeq, a predicted model, not a curated record
AUCAGAAAGAGACUAGGCGGCGGAGCGAAGCACACCAUUAGAAGAGGAAAAUGAGUGAACUGGAUCAGCUACGCCAGGAGGCUGAGCAGCUCAAGAACCAGAUCAGAGAUGCCAGGAAAGCGUGUGCGGAUGCUACCCUGUCUCAGAUCACAGCUAACAUCGACCCUGUUGGCCGAAUUCAGAUGCGCACUAGACGGACACUGAGGGGGCAUCUGGCUAAAAUCUAUGCCAUGCACUGGGGCACUGACUCGAGGUAAUCUCAUUCAACUCCAUUCUG